RNAcentral lists this ribosomal RNA (441 nucleotides) under Fusobacteria bacterium oral taxon 220. Its description in RNAcentral is "bacterial SSU rRNA". It matches the Rfam family "Bacterial small subunit ribosomal RNA", at positions 28 to 482 of the family's 1533-position model. Lineage: Bacteria; Fusobacteriati; Fusobacteriota. The record is from RNAcentral.
GAUGAACGCUGACAGAAUGCUUAACACAUGCAAGUCUACUUGAAUUUGGGUUUUUAACUUAGGUUUGGGUGGCGGACGGGUGAGUAACGCGUAAAGAACUUGCCUCACAGCUAGGGACAGCAUUUAGAAGUGAAUGCUAAUACCUAAUAUUAUGAUAAUAGGGCAUCCUAUAAUUAUGAAAGCUAUAUGCGCUGUGAGAGAGCUUUGCGUCCUAUUAGCUAGUUGGUAAGGUAAAGGCUUACCAAGGCGAUGAUAGGUAGCCGGCCUGAGAGGGUGGACGGCCACAAGGGGACUGAGAUACGGCCCUUACUCCUACGGGAGGCAGCAGUGGGGAAUAUUGGACAAUGGAGGAAACUCUGAUCCAGCAAUUCUGUGUGUGUGAAGAAGAUCUUCGGAUUGUAAAACACUUUUAGUUGGGAAGAAACAAAUGACGGUACCAAC